CUCUUUUUCUCUACUUUUUGAUCCCAAAAGUACUCCAUAUCCUUCUUUGGUCAUAUACAACCAACAAAUAAUGAAAAGCACUAAUAAGAGCAUUUUGUUAUCACUUUUAUUAUCAAAACUAUACAAGAAGGUGAUUAUUCAGGGCCUGAUUAUAGUUAAAUUUACCUAUUAUCGAUACCCCACACUUAAACCUUUACUCGGCCUCAAGCAAUUUAAACUGCACUUCUAGGCCUAACCGUUUGAUGCAUUGCCCCAAUUUAUGUCACACUCGCCAUUAUGAAGGACCAACCUAAGCAUUGCAACAAUCAUACUUCAGAUGCAGACUCUCAUGCCAUGACACACUCAUGCUCACUCUAGUUACUCUAACAGAAGUGAAGACUUGCUUUUUCUUUUUGAGUCACAUGCCCUCACAUCAUAGUUUUGAGAGAAGUUCCACACACAUAAAAUUCAAACAAUAAGGAACCAAGGAUAGAAAGAAUUCACUCACUCUCAGCAAAGAGC
This 501-nucleotide long non-coding RNA is filed under the name Nicotiana benthamiana. Its description in RNAcentral is "long non-coding RNA (NBEN_LNC034400)". Lineage: Eukaryota; Viridiplantae; Streptophyta; Magnoliopsida; Solanales; Solanaceae. The record is from RNAcentral.